Molecule: transfer RNA, 73 nt
Filed under: Dermatophagoides pteronyssinus (European house dust mite)
Lineage: Eukaryota; Metazoa; Arthropoda; Arachnida; Sarcoptiformes; Pyroglyphidae
Description: tRNA-Ile
Rfam family: tRNA
About the family: Transfer RNA (tRNA) molecules are approximately 80 nucleotides in length. Their secondary structure includes four short double-helical elements and three loops (D, anti-codon, and T loops). Further hydrogen bonds mediate the characteristic L-shaped molecular structure. tRNAs have two regions of fundamental functional importance: the anti-codon, which is responsible for specific mRNA codon recognition, and the 3' end, to which the tRNAs corresponding amino acid is attached (by aminoacyl-tRNA synthetases). tRNAs cope with the degeneracy of the genetic code in two manners: having more than one tRNA (with a specific anti-codon) for a particular amino acid; and 'wobble' base-pairing, i.e. permitting non-standard base-pairing at the 3rd anti-codon position.
Source: RNAcentral
GGCCGGUUAGCUUAGUCGGUAGAGCGUGGUGCUAAUAACGCCAAGGUCGUGGGUUCGAUCCCCACACCAGCCA